CCUACGGGAGGCUGCAGUGAGGAAUAUUGGUCAAUGGGCGAGAGCCUGAACCAGCCAAGUCGCGUGAGGGAGUACUGCCCUAUGGGUUGUAAACCUCUUUUGUCGGGGAGCAAAAGCCGGACGUGUCCGGCUGUGAGAGUACCCGAAGAAAAAGCAUCGGCUAACUCCGUGCCAGCAGCCGCGGUAAUACGGAGGAUGCGAGCGUUAUCCGGAUUUAUUGGGUUGAAAGGGUGCGCAGGCGGAUUUUUAAGUCAGCGGUAAAAUCGUGGGGCUCAACCCCAUCCAGCCGUUGAAACUGGGGAUCUAGAGUGUGCGAGAGGUAUGCGGAAUGCGUGGUGUAGCGGUGAAAUGCAUAGAUAUCACGCAGAACCCCGAUCGCGAAGGCAGCAUACCGGUGCACAACUGACGCUCAGGCACGAAAGCGUGGGUAUCGAACAGGAUUAGAUACCCCAGUAGUC
This 458-nucleotide ribosomal RNA is filed under the name uncultured bacterium. RNAcentral describes it as "partial 16S ribosomal RNA". It matches the Rfam family "Bacterial small subunit ribosomal RNA", at positions 338 to 795 of the family's 1533-position model. The record is from RNAcentral.